AUGACACUCGUAACCUAUCCCAUUUAUUUUCAUAGGCUCAUGAUGGACACUGCCACAGAAUCCAGGGGUCAAAAGGUCAGAGGGCCUGGAUAUGCGAAAAGUUUAACCGCCAGGGGCUCCCCUAUCGGGAUCUCGAGUUCCUUGUCUCUAGACACUUCCCGAGACCCAUUUCUUCCUGGAAUUAAUUGCCAAUCCCUUAGCCUAACCCCUUAUCCAUAGAGAACAAUGGGAGGAAGAGAGAUGUAUGAAAAAUAUUUAAUAGCACGUCACCAACUAGCCCUUUAGGUAUGUCGUCGAGGGCUACUAGACGCAACUUUCUGCUAAGUGUUGGGCUCCUGGGUCCUGCGCGGGCCGUACGGGAGCUAUAGUGGCCCAAUUGUAAUGUCCCAAAUAUGUGACAUCUGCUUCUUUGUAGAAGAAAGAGAAAAGGAGGAGCACUGCCAGAAACAUGUUUGGAGGGUCGCACAGACCUCUGUGCAAAAAGAGUCCUAAACUUGUUUAAGGUUUUGCCAAAAGAGUGAAGGAAUGGGUUUAGACCACUGGACAUUUAGCUAUGAGAAUGGAGAUGAGUGUUAGCAAUUCAGAAUAACUGUAAAUGAUCAGUGGGGUAUUUUGAGCUGAAUCUUCUGUCAGGUUCUGCCCUUUUAGUUUGUUUAUUUUUAUUUUUGGGGGUUGUUUCUGUUUUUUACUGGUGGGGUUAGUGAAACCUGAUCAGUGAAGUUAAGAUGAUCAUCGAUCACAACUCCCAGGUUUCUGGCCGUUCAGGAAGAUGUGAUUGUUGAUGAGCCCAGUUGAAUGGAUAAAUUGUGAUGAAACUUUGUGUUGUCCGGGAUUACAAGCAGUUCUGUUUUAGCAAGGUUCAAGGUUGACCAUGUUGAAAACCAUUCCUCAUUCUUUCUUCACAAAGGGUGCAAACAAAAUCUGGAUCACUCAACCAUUGCACCAACAGCAUUUUGGUUAAAAACAACAUUAACAAGAUUAGCCUUCAUAUGACAUAUGAACCACACAUUCCAGUACAGUACAAUGUACACAUGCCAUAUACUGACAUGUAAAUAAACAUGACAUGUACUGAUGUAAAUAAAGUAAAAAUAAUUUGUUUUUAUUCUAUAAUAACAUAUUUUGUUACUAUGUUUUAUGUGAAAAAAUAUUUAAACUUAAAAAGCUUAAAAAUAAAAGUUCAUAAUUUAUGUAAUGCUCCCAGUUUUUUAAGGGCAGUGUUUUAUAAAUAAUAUGUAUAUUUUCUGAAUGAAAAUUGUUGACAGUGUUAUGUUGGUUUAUUUUAAAACAUAUUUGAAAUAUUUUGUUGGUCUGAGAGAGUUUUGGAGGUGAAAUUAAAUGGUUUGGCCAAGUUAACGGUCGACUGUGUGAAGAGUUUUGAAAAUGUGGCUUAAUGUAUUAAACAAUCCUUGUUAGCGGUUGAAAAAACUGUAAUAUGUACCGCUCCUUUAAAUUUAAACGUAGCCGAGGAAAUGGUUCACAAGACAAAAACCAGAUGAUUCAGCUGUAGAGAGGAAGAUCGUUGGAAUCUGCAAAAAGACAAGGUACGCUUAAAAUGAUGGCUUAAUACCAGUUGAAAUACAUACAAAUAUCAUUUUGGGUUAGUCUACACGUAAUGUAAAGCGCUUCUUACAAAUAUGACAUACACGUGUUUCAUUAUUGUACGUUUACAUAUGAUUUGCAGCGCUGAGCAUUAUAACCAAUAGCAAACGUUUCUUUUAAACUGUAGGAAUGCCAUGUCCAAUCAGAGGUGUUUGAUUUGGCACCGCGGAGACUUCAUGGGAGUUGCGCUGGCUAACUAAACUGUAAUUCUGCACAUGCGCCAACUCUCUCGUUAUCGUACACAACGUGGGGAUAAGAUAAAUUUCCUGGUGGCCAUCAAAUACAGUUUUCAGUGCACCCUUUAGGAACUGUCAGGAAGAACUCACUAACAUCGACGGCCACUGACCAAGAAAUAGAAUUAUAUAUUAAAAAAUGGCUUCACCUGGCUGGUGACCGUGAUGGUGGGAGACGCGAAAGAGAGAAAACGGAGGAGUGCCCAAGAUACACGUUUUUGCUUAUUCAGAUUGCUUCCCAGUUUUGGAUGUGUAAUCAUGCAAUGUUUGUUUUUGGCAAUAUUAAUAAAUUAAGCAGUUGUUUUC
Long non-coding RNA from Triplophysa dalaica, 2138 nucleotides. RefSeq lists it as uncharacterized. NCBI's taxonomy places the organism in Eukaryota, Metazoa, Chordata, Actinopteri, Cypriniformes, Nemacheilidae. The transcript is spliced from 3 exons. The record is from RefSeq and is a predicted model, not a curated record.